Molecule: ribosomal RNA, 465 nt
Filed under: Vreelandella stevensii
Lineage: Bacteria; Pseudomonadati; Pseudomonadota; Gammaproteobacteria; Oceanospirillales; Halomonadaceae
Description: partial 16S ribosomal RNA
Rfam family: Bacterial small subunit ribosomal RNA
Source: RNAcentral
CCUACGGGUGGCUGCAGUGGGGAAUAUUGGACAAUGGGGGGAACCCUGAUCCAGCCAUGCCGCGUGUGUGAAGAAGGCCCUCGGGUUGUAAAGCACUUUCAGUGAGGAAGAACGCCUGGUGGUUAAUACCCAUCAGGAAAGACAUCACUCACAGAAGAAGCACCGGCUAACUCCGUGCCAGCAGCCGCGGUAAUACGGAGGGUGCGAGCGUUAAUCGGAAUUACUGGGCGUAAAGCGCGCGUAGGUGGCGUGAUAAGCCGGUUGUGAAAGCCCCGGGCUCAACCUGGGAACGGCAUCCGGAACUGUCAAGCUAGAGUGCAGGAGAGGAAGGUAGAAUUCCCGGUGUAGCGGUGAAAUGCGUAGAGAUCGGGAGGAAUACCAGUGGCGAAGGCGGCCUUCUGGACUGACACUGACACUGAGGUGCGAAAGCGUGGGUAGCAAACAGGAUUAGAUACCCUGGUAGUC